This 187-nucleotide ribosomal RNA is filed under the name uncultured bacterium. Its description in RNAcentral is "partial 16S ribosomal RNA". It matches the Rfam family "Bacterial small subunit ribosomal RNA", at positions 1314 to 1500 of the family's 1533-position model. The record is from RNAcentral.
GCCUGCAUGAAGUCGGAAUUGCUAGUAAUCGCAGAUCAGCAUGCUGUGGUGAAUACGUUCCCGGGCCUUGUACACACCGCCCGUCACACCAUGGGAGUCGGUAACACCCAAAGUUGGUAGUCCAACCGCAAGGAGGACGCCGCCUAAGGUGGGAUUGAUGACUGGGGUGAAGUCGUAACAAGGUACC